This 403-nucleotide ribosomal RNA is filed under the name uncultured bacterium. RNAcentral's name for it is "bacterial SSU rRNA". It matches the Rfam family "Bacterial small subunit ribosomal RNA", at positions 29 to 478 of the family's 1533-position model. The record is from RNAcentral.
AACGAACGCUGGCGGCAUGCCUAACACAUGCAAGUCGAACGAGACCUUCGGGUCUAGUGGCGCACGGGUGCGUAACGCGUGGGAACCUGCCUUUAGGUUCGGAAUAACUCAGAGAAAUUUGAGCUAAUACCGGAUAAUGUCUUCGGACCAAAGAUUUAUCGCCUUUAGAUGGGCCCGCGUUGGAUUAGCUAGUUGGUGGGGUAAAGGCCUACCAAGGCGACGAUCCAUAGCUGGUCUGAGAGGAUGAUCAGCCACACUGGGACUGAGACACGGCCCAGACUCCUACGGGAGGCAGCAGUGGGGAAUAUUGGACAAUGGGCGAAAGCCUGAUCCAGCAAUGCCGCGUGAGUGAUGAAGGCCUUAGGGUUGUAAGCUCUUUUACCCGAGAUGAUAAUGACAGUAU